GACGAACGCUGGCGGCGUGCUUAACACAUGCAAGUCGAACGGAAAGGUCCCUUUGGGGGUCCUCGAGUUGCGAAAGGGUGAGUAACACGUGAGUAACCUGCCCUUGACUUCGGGAUAACUUCAGGAAACUGGGGCUAAUACCGGAUAGGAAUCCUUGCUGCCUGGUGGGGGUUGGAAAGCUUCGGUGGUUUUGGAUGGACUUGCGGCCCUACAGCUUGUACGUGGGGUAGUGGCUCACAAAGGCUAUGACGGGUAGCCGGCCCGAGAGGGCGACCGGCCCCAGUGGGACUGGGAUUCGGCCCAGACUCCUACGGGAGGCAGCAGUGGGGGAGGGUGCACAAUGGGCAUGGGCCAGAGGCAGCAACACCACUGGCGGGAUGACGGCCUUCGGGUUGGAAUCCGCUUGCAGCAGGGGCGAAGCUUGUGAUGACGGUACCUGCAGAAGAAGCACCGGCUAACUACGUG
RNAcentral lists this ribosomal RNA (465 nucleotides) under uncultured bacterium. RNAcentral describes it as "partial 16S ribosomal RNA". It matches the Rfam family "Bacterial small subunit ribosomal RNA", at positions 28 to 507 of the family's 1533-position model. The record is from RNAcentral.